Molecule: long non-coding RNA, 3742 nt
Organism: Tripterygium wilfordii
Lineage: Eukaryota; Viridiplantae; Streptophyta; Magnoliopsida; Celastrales; Celastraceae
Exons: 2
Source: RefSeq, a predicted model, not a curated record
AAGGUACGCUAUCUUUUGAGAGCUUUUUCUCCCCAAUUUCUCUUCCUGAAAGGAUUGCAUUUAUAUGUCGUCAAAUAAUAAAUUGGAAAUGGUUUAGAGAAGGCUAUACUUCGUACUGCUUGGAAAAACCAUCUGAAUUUAAGUUUUCUUGCUUGAAUUUUGCUUAUUCUGAGCUAAAAUGGAGGUUUUGCAAUCCAUUAUUCAUUCAUGGUAAUCGAUUAACCUUUUGUGUAGCUUUAAAAUACAGGUGACAGUACAGUUUGUUGUGAUUUUGUACAUUCAAAUUUGCAAAUUAUCCUCUCCAGAGAGCAAUGGAAAUGUGCCGUCAAUUUCAUCCACUGCCAAGGUUUCUUCUCUCUUUUCAAUUUCAUAGAUUUUUAGUUCCAUUAAUUUCGCCAUUGUCCCUUGCCUCUACGUGGGCACCUUCUCUAUUUAAUUACUUAUAUUGUGUUAUCUUUUGUCACUCAUAUCAAGUUUCUCAAAGACAGAAGCUGUGGAGGAAAAAAAACAGGGGUAAUAUAUUAUACUUUACUAUAUAUGGAGGCUAUAAGGAAGCAAUCAAUCAAUCAGGUUUAUAGAACAGAGUUGCCAAGCAACAGCAAGUAAGCUAUUAGGUCUUUUGUUUUGUUUUUUUCCUUUUCGUCUUAUGGGUUUGACGUUGGAGAUUCAUAUUGGAGUUCUUCAAGGGUUGUGGGGGAGACAUGGUCUGUUGAAAUCAAGAACCUAAGGAAGGAGUGGGGUGACUUGCAAAGCGAGGGGGAAAUGAUGGCCAUAUCAUAUUUACCAGCCUAUUCAUGUUUUUUUUUUUUUCGGAUUUCAUUUGUGGUGUAAGAUACUUUUUUGGCUUUCAAUCCUUGAUUUUGUAUUCAUGUUCAUGGAAUAUUUAGACUAUCGCUAAUGUACUGCCUAACCUGAUUGGAUGAAAGAAAAACUUUAUAUUUGUUGGCUUAUGAAAUAAACCGUGUAGAUUAUUGUACGACGACUAUACAGCAGAAUAGUGGUGUCUAUUGGUUAUGGGAACUACAGUAGAUUAUUGUCGAGACACUGUCAUGUGGCUCUUUCUUACUAUAUUCUUCUUUUGAUACUUCUUUUUCAUCAGGUAAGAAAUCUAAUUGGUUUGGAUAGUUUUUGCCUGCUGUGUUUUAAACUGUUGUCAAAGUUUCCCCAUUUUUUUCUUCUAGAUGUAAAAAAUUCAUCUUGAAUAGUUGAUCUUAAUAUUUAUUCAUUGAUCAAGGUGCAUAAAAGCCUGUUGUGAUUGUUCAAAGAAUCUCAAGAAAAAGAGUGGGGAUAUCAGCAUGCCCAAUUAUUGUUAUAAUCUUUUUUUUGGUUUAUAACUGCCUUUCAAUCCUUAUUGUCAUUUUUCCAGCAAAAGCGAAGGAUCUGAUGAGGAAGAUGAUUACUAUUAGACUUCAAGCGCUUGGUAUUUUUCCUGAAAUUGCAAACGAGUAUCUGUGGAUUCACGCAUAGAUUCAUCUUCCUAACAUUGAUUAAUUAUUUUUUCUUGAUUAGGGGAUUAAAACCCCCUCAGCCCUUCCAUCAGGUUCUAUCUACAAACUUCUUUCGGUAAUUUUCUUUUGGGUCUGAUUUCUUUAAGAUGCUUAUUCUUUGUUUUCGUUUGUCACUGAUUUCAAGCGUCUCCAUAGACAGAAGCUGUAGAGGGAGGGAAAAAAAAAAGAAUGGCCGAAGAAGUUCUUAUGCCGUUUCAAACCGUUAGUGUUUCUUAUUUGUUUUAGGAAUGGCCGAAGAAGUUCUUAGUUCUUCUAAUUCAUGUUUUAGCUAUUUUUCUUAUUUGUUUUACAUUUAUAUUUAGACUAUGUGAUAAUAUAAGCCAUGCCCAGGAAUUUUGUGUUUGGAUUGAGGGAUUUGGAGGGCAAAGCUAGUUUUUACACGGUUUUUUUAUGUCCUUGACUUCAAAUUGUUUGGUUAAAUUGAUUUCACCCAGAAGUCAUCUUCCUGUGUUUAUUAUAGUCAUUUUGAUCAGUGUAGAAAUUACUCUCAUGGUGCUCUCUAUACAGUGACGACCGUAGAUUUUUAUGAUGCUCCCAUGUCCAUCAUGCGUGUAUAUUGAAAGAGAGAAACCAUAGAACCUUUACCUGAAAGGAGAUCUCCUUUGAUUUUUUUAUUGAUAACAUGAACCGACCAUUGACCUCUCUGAAGCCAAACUCAGAUGCUAUGGUAUGUUCACUUCCUCUUACAUCAGCUUUGGGUGCGUACUAUCAGAUUACUGCGAAAGGUUGUUUAUUUUCUUCUUUUCUCCUGUGUCAUUUUUUAACUUUGUUUAUCUGUAAUUUCUUUUCGGUUGAUUUCAAUUUUUCUCUGUUUGUCAGCGUGAUUGGGACUCCGUUAUCGGAUUUAUCCACAAUGUGGGGCUUUCUUUCCUCCAAAUGUCCUUUUUGUUGCCAUCAUUUCCUGUUAUGCCUGCCUCAAUGUACUUUUUGUUUAUCUGGAUUAUCUAACAUAUACAAUGAUAGUUCUAGCUAUACAAAGCAAUGCAGACAGAGAAGGGUAAUCAUUCAAUUUGGCUUCUAUUCCUGUUAGUUUAUUUCAUAACCUAUGUUUAAUUCAAAUGGCCUUAUUAUAUAAUCCCAAAAUCUUACUAACACUUGACCAGUGCAUAUGCUUGCCACUUCUGCUGAGCACAUGCAAGUACUUAUUGAUUCAAGAUUGUUUGUAGUCCAGCAUUAGAGCAGGGAUUAGGAUUUGUUGUUUUUUGAAUUUAAUUUACGUCUUCUUUUCUUUGGGUUGGUUCCACGUAAGUUUGGUGAGCUCGGAUUAUGAUUUAUUGUGUUCGUGGGUUUAGACGGGGAGAAUAUCUAAAAUUGUGACUAUUGCGACCAAGUUCAGGUUUGAGGUUUGAAAAGUUGUUAAAUUUGAUGAUAAACAUGUGUCUUUGAUGGAUCAUGGAUCUUGAAAUCAUGGGCAUGUCAUGCUUUCUUCAGGUGUGAUUUCUUCCUGUUUUGUGUUUAUAUCUUUGUUUUUCAGCUUUCCGUGUUCAUUAAAGCUUGGUUUAUCAUAGUUCUGUAAGUAACUUUGAGGUGGAUUUGUGUCCGAAUUUCUUUGGAUUGGGAAGAAGUUACUUAAAUUGCUGAAGAACUACCUCUUAAUUGUACUUGUGGUUAUUGAUUAUACUAAUCGUAAAUGUAACCGUUAGUGAGGUUUUAUGUAUUCCUUGCUUGCUGAUUCCUUUUAGGCACUUAGUUAGAAAUUUAGAAUUAGUUCCUCUUAAAUUUUGGAAAGAAUGUUUUUGUGAAUUCAUUUUGGUGAUAUUCUGAGCAAUACAUUUUUCUGCUUGCCAUGGUUUUGGUACUUCAAAACUUAAAAAGUCAUGGCAUCUGGGCUUUUCUUAGGCAUAUGGCAUCUAUUUCGAACAUUUAUUGGAGGAAUCACUUGCAGACUUAUAUGUAUUUUUAUUUUUCCAGUGUCAAGAAACUAUUCAAACUGAAGAUAUGUUUGCCUACCCCAAAAAUGGUUGCUGUUAUAUGUGGUCACUACGUUCAUUGCCAUAAUAAUUUUCUGGCCGGGCUCUAUUUCAUUGCGCCAUAAAUUUCGAUCUGUUGUUAGUUUUUUGCUUAUUUGGGGUUUGGUGUGUUGUUUUUCCUUUUUUUUCUUUAAUUAAAUCAUGAGUUUGUUUUUUGGACAAAAUCCAGAAAUUUAAAAGCUGAAAGCAAUUCAGUUGCAACCAUGAAGUGGAUAUAUCUUCAUAUUUAUAAAGGGAAACGACUGGAAUGAUGGUUGAAUUUGC